UGGAAUUACACACGUGCGCCACCAUGGCCAGC
RNAcentral lists this non-coding RNA (32 nucleotides) under Homo sapiens (human). Lineage: Eukaryota; Metazoa; Chordata; Mammalia; Primates; Hominidae. The record is from RNAcentral.